AUUGAACGCUGGCGGCAGGCCUAACACAUGCAAGUCGAGCGGUAACAUUGAUAGCUUGCUAUCAGAUGACGAGCGGCGGACGGGUGAGUAAUGCUUAGGAAAUCUGCCUGAUAGGAGGGGGACACCACGGGAAACUGUAGCUAAUACCGCAUAAUCUAUUCGUAGACAAAGGUGGGGGACCUUCGGGCCUCACGCUAUCAGAU
This 203-nucleotide ribosomal RNA is filed under the name uncultured Gammaproteobacteria bacterium. RNAcentral describes it as "partial 16S ribosomal RNA". It matches the Rfam family "Bacterial small subunit ribosomal RNA", at positions 30 to 226 of the family's 1533-position model. Lineage: Bacteria; Pseudomonadati; Pseudomonadota; Gammaproteobacteria. The record is from RNAcentral.